Molecule: long non-coding RNA, 1276 nt
Filed under: Thrips palmi
Lineage: Eukaryota; Metazoa; Arthropoda; Insecta; Thysanoptera; Thripidae
Description: uncharacterized LOC117646539
Source: RNAcentral
UUACAUCUCCGCCUGAUGUCCAGAGUAGGAAGUACGCUGUUCGUCCUUGCGAGAUGCACGUCCCAUACAAGUGACCCCCAAGUACACCCUUCGUUCUAGGGGCAUGCCAUGUAAUGAUCAUUCAUCCCUGCAGCGGACAGGGAUCGCGCGCGGCGUGGUGAGGGCCAGCAGAGGCCGGAGUGGGGGUACGUCCCCCGUCCUCCCCGCGCCCCGCCAUCAGCGCCGGCCAAUGAGGGGCUAGCGUGAGCUGGCGCGGACGACCGUUCAAAUAAACCGCCCCGGUUAGGUUGGCAGCAUUUUGGUGUUAUUAAGUUGGCUCCUCUUUCCGACUGUCUUGUGUCUUGUCUUUGCGCGCGCUCUCGGCGUUCCUGUCUUUGUUUCUGUGCUACACUUCGCUCGAACUAUGUUUUUUCGUUGUGCCGACAAGAACAAUGGAUGGAAGAGAAACAAAUUUGAAGCACGGGUGCUCUCUUCAACUGGGAAUGAAUAGAGGGACCAUGAAGAGACGGCAGAGAAACUUUGCCUUCAUGAUGAUUCCGAACCCAACAUCUUUUCAAAAUGAAUCGGCAUCAGAAACAGAACUUAAUAAUAUGAUUCUUCUAGUCUCUUAGUUGUUCUCAAAGUCUGCAACUCAAUUUAAUAGAAGCAAUCAAGAUGUGGGAUGAAACUUGGACUACGAUUGAGAUUCUGAACUCCAGAUUUGACUUUUUGUUGCUCGUCACAGCUACUUCACACUAUAUUUGUUUCGUUUUGUACUCUGAUAGUGUCCAAGAGUCUGAAACUUGAGUACAUCUUCUUUUGUGGGCCAUGUUGACAUACAGCAAUUAUGAUAAGGGAUGAAAUUUGGACUACGAUAGAGGUUUUGAACCCACAAUAUGACUUUUUAGUUGCUCGUCCCAACUACUGCUCACUAGAUUUGUUUUGUUUUGUGCUCAGAGUCCAAGAGACAACAACUUUAGUACAUCUUCUUUUGUGGGCCAUUUUAACAUGAUACAAGCGAUUAAGAUGUGGGAAGAAACUUGGACUACUGUUGAUUUUGGUUCAAUUCUGAGUUGAUUUUGGCACCCACUGAACAUUGUGUGUGGUAUUUAACUUAAAACAGUGUUGAAUAUGCUUUUCUAUUUUAGCUUGAAUCAGUGAUUAAUUUGUUGUAUUUAUAAAAUUUAAAUUUAAAAUGAAGCUAAAAUCCAAGAAUUUGUGUCACAGCUGUUAGGUAAUAAUGAGUGUAUGUCACAUCACCUCAUAUUUAAAUAAAAGCAUUUUUUAAAAAAUCAAA